GAUGAACGCUGGCGGCGUGCCUAAUACAUGCAAGUCGAGCGAACGGACGAGAAGCUUGCUUCUCUGAUGUUAGCGGCGGACGGGUGAGUAACACGUGGAUAACCUACCUAUAAGACUGGGAUAACUUCGGGAAACCGGAGCUAAUACCGGAUAAUAUUUUGAACCGCAUGGUUCAAAAGUGAAAGACGGUCUUGCUGUCACUUAUAGAUGGAUCCGCGCUGCAUUAGCUAGUUGGUAAGGUAACGGCUUACCAAGGCAACGAUGCAUAGCCGACCUGAGAGGGGGAUCGGCCACUCUGGAGCUGAGACACGGUCCAGACUCCUACGGGAGGCAGCAGUAGGGAAUCUUCCGCAAUGGGCGAAAGCCUGACGGAGCAACGCCGCGUGAGUGAUGAAGGUCUUCGGAUCGUAAAACUCUGUUAUUAGGGAAGAACAUAUGUGUAAGUAACUGUGCACAUCUUGACGGUACCUAAUCAGAAAGCCACGGCUAACUACGU
This 496-nucleotide ribosomal RNA is filed under the name uncultured bacterium. RNAcentral's name for it is "partial 16S ribosomal RNA". It matches the Rfam family "Bacterial small subunit ribosomal RNA", at positions 28 to 506 of the family's 1533-position model. The record is from RNAcentral.